UACGUAGGGGGCAAGCGUUGUCCGGAAUCAUUGGGCGUAAAGCGCGCGUAGGCGGCCCUGUAAGUCCGUUGUGAAAGUCGAAGGCUCAACCUUCGAAAGCCGAUGGAUACUGCAGGGCUAGAGUCCGGAAGAGGCGAGUGGAAUUCCUGGUGUAGCGGUGGAAUGCGCAGAUAUCAGGAGGAACACCGGUGGCGAAGGCGGUUCUCUGGGCAUUACCUGACGCUGAGGAGCGAAAGCAUGGGGAGCGAACAGG
This 253-nucleotide ribosomal RNA is filed under the name uncultured bacterium. Its description in RNAcentral is "partial 16S ribosomal RNA". It matches the Rfam family "Bacterial small subunit ribosomal RNA", at positions 524 to 776 of the family's 1533-position model. The record is from RNAcentral.